UUAGGAAUUUUGCGCAAUGGCCGCAAGGCUGACGCAGCAACGCCGCGUGGGUGAGGAAGGCCUUCGGGUUGUAAAGCCCUUUUCCCAGGGAAGAAACAAAUGACGGUACCUGGGGAAGAAGCCCCGGCUAACUACGUGCCAGCAGCCGCGGUAAUACGUAGGGGGCGAGCGUUGUCCGGAUUUAUUGGGCGUAAAGGGCGUGUAGGCGGCUGGGUAAGGGUGGGGUGAAAUCUCCCGGCUCAACUGGGAGGGGACCUUGCCGACUGCCUGGCUUGAGGCUGGUAGGGGCACAUGGAAUUCCCGGUGUAGUGGUGAAAUGCGUAGAGAUCGGGAGGAACACCGGUGGCGAAGGCGGUGUGCUGGGCCAAGCCUGACGCUGAGGCGCGAAAGCGUGGGGAGCGAACUGGAUUAGAUACCCCCGUAGUCC
Molecule: ribosomal RNA, 427 nt
Filed under: uncultured bacterium
Lineage: Bacteria
Description: bacterial SSU rRNA
Rfam family: Bacterial small subunit ribosomal RNA
Source: RNAcentral